RNAcentral lists this long non-coding RNA (556 nucleotides) under Cricetulus griseus (Chinese hamster). RNAcentral describes it as "lncRNA (ENSCGRG00000026409.1)". The record is from RNAcentral. Lineage: Eukaryota; Metazoa; Chordata; Mammalia; Rodentia; Cricetidae.
AUUUAAGCAAAGGAAACAGAAAGUGUCCCCUUUUCCCCUUUGCAUCCUCCAGUGGCAGUAUGUGAGCCACUGGCAAGAGAGGGCACCAGCGAAAGGCAUCCUCUAUAAGACCACUCCAUGCUUAAUGAAAGAAGAGAUGGCAUGGCACAGGAUCUACCGGAACAAGGCAGCAACAUCGAAUUUGAAACCAUUUACAUUGAUGAUAAAGCUCAAGUAAAACUGUAGGGGAAUUUCCUGGGAAACAACAGAGGUCUGGCAGAACCCUCAUGGACAUGAAGGACCAGAAUUGAAGAUACAUUUAAUAAUAUAUAUGUAUGCAGAUACAGUUUUGAAUUAUUCAAAAGGAAUCAUGAUGAAAUUCAUCUGUGAAUGCUAUCAACAGACUGACACCCUCUUUCUGAGAGAUGCUUAUAGCAAUGAAGUAUCUUCAAGAUCUUGAAGAGAAGACCUUGUGAUAAAUAAUCUUUUAUGAGCCUUGUGAUUCUCAUUUAAUUAAAGAUGAACUGGAUAAGCUUUCUAUCUCUCCUUGGGAUUUUUAAUAAAAGUUAAAAAUAAU